RNAcentral lists this long non-coding RNA (578 nucleotides) under Homo sapiens (human). Its description in RNAcentral is "HSALNT0283920". The record is from RNAcentral. Lineage: Eukaryota; Metazoa; Chordata; Mammalia; Primates; Hominidae.
GAUGAGGUGGUGAAAGCCACUUCUAGGGGCUGCAUCACCAUCAUAGGUGGUGGAGACACUGCCACUUGCUGUGCCAAAUGGAACACGGAGGAUAAAGUAAAGUCCUUCCUGGGGUGGAUGCUCUCAGCAAUAUUUAGUACUUUCCUGCCUUUUAGUUCCUGUGCACAGCCCCUAAGUCAACUUAGCAUUUUCUGCAUCUCCACUUGGCAUUAGCUAAAACCUUCCAUGUCAAGAUUCAGCUAGUGGCCAAGAGAUGCAGUGCCAGGAACCCUUAAACAGUUGCACAGCAUCUCAGCUCAUCUUCACUGCACCCUGGAUUUGCAUACAUUCUUCAAGAUCCCAUUUGAAUUUUUUAGUGACUAAACCAUUGUGCAUUCUAGAGUGCAUAUAUUUAUAUUUUGCCUGUUAAAAAGAAAGUGAGCAGUGUUAGCUUAGUUCUCUUUUGAUGUAGGUUAUUAUGAUUAGCUUUGUCACUGUUUCACUACUCAGCAUGGAAACAAGAUGAAAUUCCAUUUGUAGGUAGUGAGACAAAAUUGAUGAUCCAUUAAGUAAACAAUAAAAGUGUCCAUUGAAACCGU